RNAcentral lists this transfer RNA (77 nucleotides) under Bacilli bacterium. RNAcentral's name for it is "tRNA-Met". It matches the Rfam family "tRNA". From Rfam's summary of the family: Transfer RNA (tRNA) molecules are approximately 80 nucleotides in length. Lineage: Bacteria; Bacillati; Bacillota; Bacilli. RNAcentral also lists the same sequence under 2 other names. The record is from RNAcentral.
CGCGGGGUAGAGCAGCCUGGUAGCUCGCCAGGCCCAUAACCUGGAGGCCGGUGGUUCAAAUCCACCCUCCGCAACCA